RNAcentral lists this transfer RNA (73 nucleotides) under Pteropus alecto (black flying fox). It matches the Rfam family "tRNA". Rfam says of the family: Transfer RNA (tRNA) molecules are approximately 80 nucleotides in length. Their secondary structure includes four short double-helical elements and three loops (D, anti-codon, and T loops). The record is from Rfam by way of RNAcentral. Lineage: Eukaryota; Metazoa; Chordata; Mammalia; Chiroptera; Pteropodidae.
GGUUCCAUAAUGUAGCAGUUAAUACCUCUGCUUUACACGCAGAAGAUCCUGGGUUCACACCCCAGUGAAGCCA